UGGCAAAAAGGCAAAGCGCCUCCCUGGGGGGCACGUCUGAACAGAGAGCAGCACUCACCUGAAGUGCGGAUAAUUUACAAAGAUGAUCUUCGGGGGGGUUUAAACAUGACUUUGUAAAGGCUCGGAAUUGCUGAUGGUUGGAAGGGUAAAUUAUCGGCCUGGUCAGGAAAUGGUCGUGCAGCGGAAAACGGCAAGGACAACAGACAAAAUGGCGGAGUAUGACGAGGGAUUGCUGCCACAGUAAUGUAUUUAUCAACCCCCUCAGAAGGAAAGCCACAUUAAGUUUGACAGCUGAAGCAAAGGUGUAUAUGAAAAUAAGCAAUAGUUUUGGAUGAAGUUGUAAAGGUCACCAAGCAACUGAGAACAAGGAGAGCAGACUGAUCGUUCGUUGGGGAACACCGAAAGGAAUGACAUAACCUUAAGCGAAGUGGAAGAUAGGAAUUGAACCAGCAACACACACCUGCAGUCUCGCCUGCUACCCUCAAGUUCUACCACUGGAGCAAGGCCAGAGCCUUGCUGUGUCCAGAUAAGGAACCGUCUUUCGUUGUUUUGGAACCGUCUCUUUGUGUCCUCACCUUCACCAGAUCCCCCGAGACCGCCGUUUCCAUUGCGGCUCAGAAUUCUAAUAUGAACCAUCUUGCAAUCUAAGUGAGCGGCUCGCACCGUCUUGACACCUUAACGUCAGCGACACAAACACCCACUCGCUCACUGACCUGGAA
Molecule: long non-coding RNA, 719 nt
Organism: Hypanus sabinus (Atlantic stingray)
Lineage: Eukaryota; Metazoa; Chordata; Chondrichthyes; Myliobatiformes; Dasyatidae
Exons: 5
Source: RefSeq, a predicted model, not a curated record